GAUGAACGCUGGCGGCGUGCCUAAUACAUGCAAGUCGAGCGAACAGAUAAGGAGCUUGCUCCUUUGACGUUAGCGGCGGACGGGUGAGUAACACGUGGGUAACCUACCUAUAAGACUGGAAUAACUCCGGGAAACCGGGGCUAAUGCCGGAUAACAUUUAGAACCGCAUGGUUCUAAAGUGAAAGAUGGUUUUGCUAUCACUUAUAGAUGGACCCGCGCCGUAUUAGCUAGUUGGUAAGGUAACGGCUUACCAAGGCAACGAUACGUAGCCGACCUGAGAGAGUGAGAUCGCACACUGGAACAGUGACACGCGCCAGAGUCCCACGCGGGGCGCAGGAGUGGAAUCUUCUGCAAUGGGCGAAAGCGUGACAGGGCACAACCGCGCGAGUGAUGAAGGUCUUCGGAUCGUAAGACUCUGUUAUUAGGGAAGAACAAAUGUGUAAGUAACUGUGCACGUCUUGACGGUACCUAAUCAGAAAGCCACGGCUAACUACGUG
This 497-nucleotide ribosomal RNA is filed under the name uncultured bacterium. RNAcentral describes it as "partial 16S ribosomal RNA". It matches the Rfam family "Bacterial small subunit ribosomal RNA", at positions 28 to 507 of the family's 1533-position model. The record is from RNAcentral.